Zea mays is the source of this 770-nucleotide long non-coding RNA. RefSeq lists it as uncharacterized. NCBI's taxonomy places the organism in Eukaryota, Viridiplantae, Streptophyta, Magnoliopsida, Poales, Poaceae. The record is from RefSeq and is a predicted model, not a curated record. The transcript has 2 exons.
UUAAUAGUCCUCAAAGUUGUCUGGUUAUCCAUACCAAAAUCCACAUUUCUAUAUUAUUGAAGCCGGUUCAAAAUGGUCCCCGCCGAGUGGGGUGGGAAAAAACACAGACACGACAACUGUUUCCAGAUAUUUCCAUCGCACACCUCCCCAUCCGCCGCAUCUCGCUUCCUCUCCCAGUUGCUUCGUCUCACUUUCAUCCUCUUUGCGUCUCUUUGAUUUCGUCGCCGUCAAGGAAAACUCCGCUUCCGUCUGAAGACUUCGACUUCUCUUGGCUUGCUCAUCGGCUGCGUCUCUUUGCGAUGGCGCGUCCACGCAUGCAGAUACACUACGUCCCGCCGUACGCUACAGUGCUACACACUGCUGUCCUUGCCUCCUCCAGCUGAGAUUGCUAGUGAUUUGGCCCACGCGCGGCGGCGCGGAAGCUGUUCCAUGUUAAGCUGCAGUCGAUGCUGCUCCUCCCCCUUCUCCACCUCUCAGAGCGGCGAACGCCUGCAAAAGAAAGCAAUCAAACUAUGAUUUCCCCAUGCACGAGAGAGAUUCGAUGCUAAGCCGCAGUGGAAUGUAACGUCGAGGAAUGUCACUUUUCCUUGCAACCUUUUUAGCGUAUAUCUAUAUCUAUGUAACUGAUACGGGCUGUUGUUGCAACAACAGACCAUGGUGAUUAUUUAAAGUAAGCCUAGGAUUUAGACAACCAAAUUCUUUUGAAAGUAUAUAUGCAACAAUAUAGAAAUCCUUUCUUGCUGCAAACAUGAGACACAUUGAUGUUGGAA